UACGUAGGGGGCUAGCGUUGUUCGGAAUUACUGGGCGUAAAGGGCGCGUAGGCGGCCGUUUGCGUCGGAUGUGAAAGCCCGGGGCUCAACCUCGGAACGGCAUUCGAUACGGGACGGCUGGAGACCGGGAGAGGAGAGUGGAAUAGCCAGUGUAGAGGUGAAAUUCGUAGAUAUUGGCUGGAACACCGGUGGCGAAAGCGGCUCUCUGGCCCGGUUCUGACGCUGAGGUGCGAAAGCGUGGGGAGCAAACAGG
Molecule: ribosomal RNA, 253 nt
Filed under: uncultured bacterium
Lineage: Bacteria
Description: partial 16S ribosomal RNA
Rfam family: Bacterial small subunit ribosomal RNA
Source: RNAcentral